UGGCGGCGCCUCAGGGGCCGCCAGCCGCCAUGGCCCCGCGGGACGGAGCGGCCGCUUCCGGCACCCGCUUCCGGUGCCGCUCUGGCGCCGGCGCGCUCGCGCUCGGCGGCGCCGGGGCGAGGCGGACCCCGCGCGUGCGGCGGCGCCGCGGGGGCUCCGGCCCUGAGGGAGCCGGGCGGGACGGGCCCUCUCCACGGGCAGGCAGGAGGAAGUCUCAGCCCGCGCUGCCCACGCACCGAGCCGCCCCGAGGCCGCAGCCCUCGGCGUGGGAACGGCCCGAGCCCCCCACCUACUUCACGGGUUCCGGGCCAGGGUGCUCGGGGCUGCUUUGACGUUGCCCUUGCCUCUCUGGCUGUCCCGGCGCACCUCGCCGAACCGCGCCCUGCCCAGCGAGGACAGCAGCUGCCGGGGUGGGCAGUGAGGCAAAGGAGAGGCUGGGAAUCCUCGCUGUUCUUCUGUGCCGUGAGACUACAACAUAGAGACCAGUCACAGACUCAUUGGCAUGGAAGAACUGUAAAUGAAGACGUGCACGUGCCAGAUAACAAGGAAAAUCAACUCAGUAAGUGGCCUGCAAGUCCCCAUGGAAGCGGGAGUAGGCCGCGGUGGAGGUGCAGCCCCGGCACUGCCCGAGCCGUGGGGCACGGCCACCGCGGCUCCUCCCGCCGGCUGCGGGCCGAGCACGGCCGGGAAAGCCCCCCCGUGCUGCUGCCCCGAGAGGACGGGGAAGUGCUGUCUGAUGGCAUUAUCUUCUGCUGCCGAAACACCGAGACACAAGUUUUUCACACGGACCUGAGAGCAGACAACUGGAAUCUGUGAGAGGAUAUGGCAAAACUGAGAGUGAACAAACUGAAGAGUAAAUCAUAAUGGAACCACAUUAUGAUAACACAAAGCCCAAGUCCCUCUUUCCUUGAUCUUACCAUUUCUCAUCAAGCCCAGGCUAAAGAAACCACCUGUGUUUGGAAGGAAGUCAGAUGCAUACCUGCACACUCUUAAAAAUGCCUCCAUAGAUAAGUUAUUCUCACCUCUCCAAAGUAAGACACUAAUGGAGAAAUCUCACACACAGCCGGAGGAUCUUCAGUUCCUGAGAGACUAAGGAAGAGAACACAGGAUUAACUUCCUGCCAGGGUUAAAAAACAGUGCAUCUUCUUCAAAAGAUUAUCCAGAAUAGGAUAUCCAGAAGGAUAAGACAUUUGUUAAAGUCACAUGCACCAGACAUUAUGUGAAAACAGAGUGUGAAAAUAAAAAUGAAUUAACGGGU
Molecule: long non-coding RNA, 1258 nt
Organism: Passer domesticus (house sparrow)
Lineage: Eukaryota; Metazoa; Chordata; Aves; Passeriformes; Passeridae
Exons: 2
Source: RefSeq, a predicted model, not a curated record